This 200-nucleotide ribosomal RNA is filed under the name uncultured bacterium. RNAcentral describes it as "partial 16S ribosomal RNA". It matches the Rfam family "Bacterial small subunit ribosomal RNA", at positions 524 to 721 of the family's 1533-position model. The record is from RNAcentral.
UACGAAGGGGGCUAGCGUUGCUCGGAAUGACUGGGCGUAAAGGGCGCGUAGGCGGUUCGUACAGUCAGACGUGAAAUUCCCGGGCUCAACCUGGGGGCUGCGUUUGAUACGUGCGGGCUUGAGUUCGGAAGAGGGUCGUGGAAUUCCCAGUGUAGAGGUGAAAUUCGUUAGAUAUUGGGAAGAACACCGGGUGGCGAAGG